RNAcentral lists this long non-coding RNA (1282 nucleotides) under Marmota monax (woodchuck). Lineage: Eukaryota; Metazoa; Chordata; Mammalia; Rodentia; Sciuridae. The record is from RNAcentral.
GAUUAUUUGAUAUCAGGAAACCUCAGUGUUAAGGGUAAUGCUUUGAUAUUUUUCAAAAACAUUCCAAAUAUCCAUGGGGUUUGUAUCUUGAGUUUCUGGAAAAAUCUCUAAAGAGUCAAAAACCAUAGGAGAAUCAAACUGUCUCUGGGGAAAAUAAAUUCUGAAGACUAGCCAGAACCAUCUGCACACUCACUUUUUAAUCUUUUCCCUUCUUGGAUUGCAUGCAAGUAUGAAGUUUUCAGGGAGCGACUGGCCUGACUCCUAUUUUCAAGUACUGCCAGCUGUGGGUAGUGGCCAAGCUAAUUAAAAGUCAUAUGUCAAAGAGGAAGUAUCUUACUGAAACUGUUCUAGGACAAUAACUGAGCUUUUUCUUUAAAUCAGUGAAGGAGAGUAUCUUAAUAUAUUUAAUUUCUUUUAGUUUUAUAUUCAUGGGUGCUAUUUUAUGAACUUGGUGGCUGGUAGUCAUAGUAUAAAUAGUUUUUAUUUGUUAAUAUUUGGAGAAUGUGAGCAUUCCACUGCAAACUACUCUUUAGUCAGGAGCCAUUCCUGUGCACUCUGUGUCUAGCUAGAUGGAUCUAUAAGUCUUACCAUUGGAGUCAGAGCCUAGUUAGAUUUCUAGUGUCCCAUGCUUAAAUAUAAUUAGGUAGCCAAGGAUCACCAUCCAUUGGAGGAAAGUUCUUAAUAAGAAAGAGAUCAAAAUAAUCAAACCAAAACAACAAAAUCCAGGAAAAAGUAAUUUAAAGAAAAUAAACUUCCUGUAGGAAGAAGUAGAAAUCAUGACUAGUAUGUUCAGUGAGAUAAGAGAAGAUAUUAAAUACGAAUAAGAAUACUAUAAAAAAAGAAAAAUUCAGAGAGAAAAAAAAAAGAGCCUAUGGAAAUACAAAAUAUAAGAGCCAGUUGAAAAAGUAAAUGGUUAGAAGAAAACAUUGAAGAAAGCCCCCUCAUAGCAGAUCAAAAAGACAAAACGGAGGGGGCAAAAGUAAAGAAAUAGUUCUAAGUCUCAGAACUGAAUGACAUGUUUCCACACACAAAAACCAACCAAGUACCCAGAGAAACAAAUAAAAAUAGAAGCCACCAGGCACGGAGGCACAUGCCUAUAAUCCUGGUAUCUCAGGAGGCUGAGGCAGGAGAUUACAAGUUCGAAGCCAGCCUCAGCAAAAGCAAGGCACUAAGCAACCAAGUGAGAGCCUGUCUCUAAAUAAAAUAACAAAAUAGGGCUGGGAUGUGGCUCAGUGGUCGAGUGCCCCGGGGUUCAAUUCCCAGCAACCCCCACCCCCGCAAA